CCUCCUAAAAGGUAACGGAGGCGCUCAAAGGUUCCCUCAGAAUGGUUGGAAAUCAUUCAUAGAGUGUAAAGGCAUAAGGGAGCUUGACUGCGAGACCUACAAGUCGAGCAGGGUCGAAAGACGGACUUAGUGAUCCGGUGGUUCCGCAUGGAAGGGCCAUCGCUCAACGGAUAAAAGCUACCCCGGGGAUAACAGGCUUAUCUCCCCCAAGAGUUCACAUCGACGGGGAGGUUUGGCACCUCGAUGUCGGCUCAUCGCAUCCUGGGGCUGUAGUCGGUCCCAAGGGUUGGGCUGUUCGCCCAUUAAAGCGGUACGCGAGCUGGGUUCAGAACGUCGUGAGACAGUUCGGUCCCUAUCCGUCGUGGGCGUAGGAAAUUUGAGAGGAGCUGUCCUUAGUACGAGAGGACCGGGAUGGACAUACCUCUGGUGUACCAGUUGUCGUGCCAACGGCAU
RNAcentral lists this ribosomal RNA (453 nucleotides) under Staphylococcus aureus. Its description in RNAcentral is "partial 23S ribosomal RNA". It matches the Rfam family "Bacterial large subunit ribosomal RNA", at positions 2286 to 2738 of the family's 2925-position model. The record is from RNAcentral. Lineage: Bacteria; Bacillati; Bacillota; Bacilli; Caryophanales; Staphylococcaceae.